GUAAAUUCCUUUCAGUCAGACAACAAAUUAUGGCGGCGAAUGACAGUGAAUUGUGAAACGGCAAGCUAGUUUUGUCUCGUUUUCAAUUUGUAUCGUGCAUUGAAGUGUUCCAUCACAAUCGUUUUUCCGUUGCACAAAUAAAUCGCCAUUUUGCGAUGACCAAGAAUUCUAAUUCGCAGGGCAGCAACACAUCCGCUGCUAAUGCACUAGCACUAGGCGCGAUGGCAGUUGUGGCGGUCGGAACAUUUCUCUUUACUUGGUGGCAAGAAAGGGAGGUUCCCCCACCGCACGGAGCUCAAGGCGCGAAUCGGCGAAGAUAGUAGCAGAACAUAGUGCAGCGGAAAAAUAAUUUUGUUCGCAAAAUAAUACUUACGUGUACACGCUUGUGUUUACUGUCAAGUAAAAUUAUAUUAUAAAUCAUUGAGA
Long non-coding RNA from Bombyx mandarina (wild silkworm), 426 nucleotides. RefSeq lists it as uncharacterized. NCBI's taxonomy places the organism in Eukaryota, Metazoa, Arthropoda, Insecta, Lepidoptera, Bombycidae. The record is from RefSeq and is a predicted model, not a curated record.